GAAUACUUUAAAGGAUGGGGUUCCCACCUCUUCGGCCAUGCCUCAAAGAGGAAGAAAUGGGUUAAAAAGGAACUAGAAGAGAUAGAAAAAUUGGAGGAAUGUGCCCCCCUGGAUUCUGAAACUUAUGAGAGAAGGACCAUCUUGUGCGCCGCACUUAAUGAGAUCCUUGCUGAUGAAGAGCUUUUUUGGCUUCAGCACUCGAAUGAGCGAUGGCUGCUCAAAGGGGAUCAUAACACAACCUAUUUUCAUCGUAUAGCCAACAGAAAAAAGAGGAAAAACACCAUUCACUCCCUCACUAAUGGGGACAUGGUUAUAGAAGGCACAAAGGAGCUUUUGGCUCAUGCUACAUCCUAUUAUAAAGAACUAUUUGGCCCGGCUAGUGGAAAUCUUUUCCACCUCUCCUCAGAAACCUGGUCUAAUGAUGAAAAGCUUAUUGAAGAUGAUAACCUUAUCCUAACGAAUGUGUUCACAGAAGAAGUUAAAAAGGCCUUAUUUGGUAUGGAAAGCAAUAGGGCUCCUGGACCUAAUAAUAUCCCUGCUGAUUUUUAUAAACACUCAUGGGAUUUCGUCAAAAAAGAUAUAAUGCGGUUGUUUGAAGCCUUUCAUAACAAUACCCUGGAUGUAGCCCGUCUGAAUUAUGGCAUUAUCACCUUGACUCCAAGCUGAAUGGGGCCAAACGAAUUCAGCAAUAUCAUCCUAUCUGCCUGCUUAGAUGCCCCUAUAAGCUUAUUACUAAGGUGUUGGACAAUAGGGUGGCUAUCUUCGCUAACAAGCUGGUUAGUAAACACCAAAAUGCCUUCAUCAAACAUAGGAACAUUAUGGAUGGGAUCCUUAUGUUGCAUGAAGUGUUGCAUCACACGCACCAUAAGAAGGAAGUUGAUGUGGUGUUGA
RNAcentral lists this ribosomal RNA (891 nucleotides) under Triticum aestivum (bread wheat). RNAcentral's name for it is "partial small subunit ribosomal RNA". Lineage: Eukaryota; Viridiplantae; Streptophyta; Magnoliopsida; Poales; Poaceae. The record is from RNAcentral.